RNAcentral lists this ribosomal RNA (424 nucleotides) under uncultured bacterium. RNAcentral describes it as "bacterial SSU rRNA". It matches the Rfam family "Bacterial small subunit ribosomal RNA", at positions 355 to 796 of the family's 1533-position model. The record is from RNAcentral.
UGGGGAAUCUUGCACAAUGGGGGAAACCCUGAUGCAGCGACGCCGCGUGAGCGAUGAAGCCCUUCGGGGUGUAAAGCUCUUUCGACGGGAACGAUUAUGACGGUACCCGGAGAAGAAGCUGCGGCUAACUACGUGCCAGCAGCCGCGGUAAUACGUAGGCAGCAAGCGUUGUUCGGAGUUACUGGGCGUAAAGAGUGUGUAGGCGGUUUGCCAAGUCUGGUGUGAAAUCUCCCGGCUUAACUGGGAGGGUGCGCCGGAUACUGGCAGGCUAGAGUAUGGGAUAGGGAAGCGGAAUUCCUGGUGUAGCGGUGAAAUGCGUAGAUAUCAGGAGGAACACCGGUGGUGUAGACGGCUUCCUGGACCAUCACUGACGCUGAGACACGAAAGCGUGGGUAGCAAACAGGAUUAGAUACCCCCGUAGUCC